GAUGAACGCUGGCGGCGUGCUUAACACAUGCAAGUCGAACGAUGAAGCCCAGCUUGCUGGGUGGGUUAGUGGCGAACGGGUGAGUAACACGUGAGUAACCUGCCCUUAACUCUGGGAUAAGCCUUGGAAACUGGGGCUAAUACCGGAUAGGAGCGCCUACCGCAUGGGGGGUGUUGGAAAGAUUUAUCGGUGUUGGAUGGACUCGCGGCCUAUCAGCUUGUUGGUGAGGUAAUGGCUCACCAAGGCGACGACGGGUAGCCGGCCUGAGAGGGUGACCGGCCACACUGGGACUGAGACACGGCCCAGACUCCUACGGGAGGCAGCAGUGGGGAAUAUUGCACAAUGGGCGAAAGCCUGAUGCAGCGACGCCGCGUGAGGGAUGACGGCCUUCGGGUUGUAAACCUCUUUCAGUAGGGAAGAAGCGAAAGUGACGGUACCUGCAGAAGAAGCACCGGCUAACUACGUG
RNAcentral lists this ribosomal RNA (466 nucleotides) under uncultured bacterium. RNAcentral's name for it is "partial 16S ribosomal RNA". It matches the Rfam family "Bacterial small subunit ribosomal RNA", at positions 28 to 507 of the family's 1533-position model. The record is from RNAcentral.